RNAcentral lists this ribosomal RNA (253 nucleotides) under uncultured bacterium. Its description in RNAcentral is "partial 16S ribosomal RNA". It matches the Rfam family "Bacterial small subunit ribosomal RNA", at positions 524 to 776 of the family's 1533-position model. The record is from RNAcentral.
UACGUAGGGUGCAAGCGUUAAUCGGAAUUACUGGGCGUAAAGCGUGCGCAGGCGGUUUUGUAAGUCUGACGUGAAAGCCCCGGGCUUAACCUGGGAAUUGCGUUGGAGACUGCAAGGCUUGAAUCUGGCAGAGGGGGGUAGAAUUCCACGUGUAGCAGUGAAAUGCGUAGAGAUGUGGAGGAACACCGAUGGCGAAGGCAGCCCCCUGGGUCAAGAUUGACGCUCAUGCACGAAAGCGUGGGGAGCGAACAGG